UUCGACAUGGCCUCGCCUGACAGUGUACCACCCUGAGUUCCCACGUGCGUUUGCCCAGUGUGAACACAGCUGGUGGUAUAUCAGUCAGUCGCGGCAUCUAC
Molecule: microRNA precursor, 101 nt
Filed under: Ixodes scapularis (black-legged tick)
Lineage: Eukaryota; Metazoa; Arthropoda; Arachnida; Ixodida; Ixodidae
Description: microRNA isc-mir-317 precursor
Gene: isc-mir-317
Rfam family: mir-317 microRNA precursor family (bases 9-97)
Source: miRBase by way of RNAcentral